This 817-nucleotide long non-coding RNA is filed under the name Gossypium raimondii (Peruvian cotton). RNAcentral describes it as "long non-coding RNA (GRAI_LNC008074)". Lineage: Eukaryota; Viridiplantae; Streptophyta; Magnoliopsida; Malvales; Malvaceae. The record is from RNAcentral.
CUUUCAGCCUCUUCCUGUUUCAUUUCUUGCACAUUUUUAGAACUCUCAGAGCACUGUUUUGUCGACCAAAACCAGACUUGUGUUCUUCAAAUGCAGUGAGUAGGGAAGUCUCUUGACAUUAUUAGAGAUCAAUCCCAAGUAUCUCCAAAUAAACCCUCAAGAAAACCUUUCCAAUUCAAUCAAGGUAAACACUGUCUGCCCUAACAUUCUUUCAACAUGUUUUCCCUUUUAUGUUUUUUUUAUGACGAAAGAUUCAACAUUUCUAGAAAUUGAAUCAUGCAUUCACCUUUAACAUGAGGUUUUAGAAAGUUUAAGACUUGAUUCAUCAAAUUAGUUGAAUCAUGUAACUAUCAUUAAAAAGUGGCAUCUAAGGUUUCUGAAAACCAGGACUUAAACUAGUUGAAUUGAAUCAUGAAUCCCAAUUUCAACGAUGAAAGAUUGCACUUUUUCGACUAAGCCUAUUCGAUUCUUCAACUUUUGGUCAGCAUCCUGAUUUCCUAAGCAUUGUUAAGAAUUCAUGGUUUAUCAAUUGUUAAGCAUUGUUAUAGAUGCUACUUGCUAAAAGAUGCUUAUUCUAUAUUCAUUAUGUUUACCUAUUCUGUUCAAAGUACUUCAUCUUCUAUGUGAAUAAGUACGCCUACUUGUUCCCUUCUCUGGCCACCAUUAGUUGCAUCGAAUUGAGCUUCAGAUGUUUGUAAAGCAUGAAAAUUUUGGUUUAGUAAUUCGUAUAAAUCUGUAUGCAUUGCUUUUGAUGAGAAAAUUUAACAAUUAACCAUAAUUUUUGCAGGAGGAAAGAAGAACACAACAACCAACUAAG